GGCCAUUUAGCUUAAUGGUAGAGUACUCAGCUGGUAUGUGAGGGGUACAGGUUCAACUCCCAUAGCUGUCU
This is a non-coding RNA of Octopus bimaculoides (California two-spot octopus), 71 nucleotides long. The record is from Rfam. NCBI's taxonomy places the organism in Eukaryota, Metazoa, Mollusca, Cephalopoda, Octopoda, Octopodidae.